UACAGAGGUCCCAAGCGUUGUUCGGAUUCAUUGGGCGUAAAGAGCUCGUAGGUGGUUCGGUAAGUCGGGUGUGAAACCUCCAGGCUCAACCUGGAGACGCCACCCGAUACUGCUGUGACUAGAGUCCAGUAGGGGAGCGUGGAAUUCCUGGUGUAGCGGUGAAAUGCGCAGAUAUCAGGAGGAACACCAGUGGCGAAGGCGGCGCUCUGGGCUGGCACUGACACUGAGGAGCGAAAGCGUGGGGAGCGAACAGG
This 254-nucleotide ribosomal RNA is filed under the name uncultured bacterium. RNAcentral's name for it is "partial 16S ribosomal RNA". It matches the Rfam family "Bacterial small subunit ribosomal RNA", at positions 524 to 776 of the family's 1533-position model. The record is from RNAcentral.